This 1346-nucleotide ribosomal RNA is filed under the name uncultured bacterium. RNAcentral's name for it is "partial 16S ribosomal RNA". It matches the Rfam family "Bacterial small subunit ribosomal RNA", at positions 28 to 1381 of the family's 1533-position model. The record is from RNAcentral.
GACGAACGCUGGCGGCGUACUUAACACAUGCAAGUCGAACGGAAAGGCCCUGCUUUUGUGGGGUGCUCGAGUGGCGAACGGGUGAGUAACACGUGAGUAACCUGCCCUUGACUUUGGGAUAACUUCAGGAAACUGGGGCUAAUACCGGAUAGGAGCUCCUGCUGCAUGGUGGGGGUUGGAAAGUUUCGGCGGUUGGGGAUGGACUCGCGGCUUAUCAGCUUGUUGGUGGGGUAGUGGCUUACCAAGGCUUUGACGGGUAGCCGGCCUGAGAGGGUGACCGGCCACAUUGGGACUGAGAUACGGCCCAGACUCCUACGGGAGGCAGCAGUGGGGAAUAUUGCACAAUGGGCGGAAGCCUGAUGCAGCAACGCCGCGUGCGGGAUGACGGCCUUCGGGUUGUAAACCGCUUUCGCCUGUGACGAAGCGUGAGUGACGGUAAUGGGUAAAGAAGCACCGGCUAACUACGUGCCAGCAGCCGCGGUGAUACGUAGGGUGCGAGCGUUGUCCGGAUUUAUUGGGCGUAAAGGGCUCGUAGGUGGUUGAUCGCGUCGGAAGUGUAAUCUUGGGGCUUAACCCUGAGCGUGCUUUCGAUACGGGUUGACUUGAGGAAGGUAGGGGAGAAUGGAAUUCCUGGUGGAGCGGUGGAAUGCGCAGAUAUCAGGAGGAACACCAGUGGCGAAGGCGGUUCUCUGGGCCUUUCCUGACGCUGAGGAGCGAAAGCGUGGGGAGCGAACAGGCUUAGAUACCCUGGUAGUCCACGCUGUAAACGGUGGGUACUAGGUGUGGGGUCCAUUCCACGGGUUCCGUGCCGUAGCUAACGCUUUAAGUACCCCGCCUGGGGAGUACGGCCGCAAGGCUAAAACUCAAAGGAAUUGACGGGGCCCCGCACAAGCGGCGGAGCAUGCGGAUUAAUUCGAUGCAACGCGUAGAACCUUACCUGGGUUUGACAUGGAUCGGGAGUGCUCAGAGAUGGGUGUGCCUCUUUUGGGGUCGGUUCACAGGUGGUGCAUGGCUGUCGUCAGCUCGUGUCGCGAGAUGUUGGGUUAAGUCCCGCAACGAGCGCAACCCUUGUUCACUGUUGCCAGCACGUUAUGGUGGGGACUCAGUGGAGACCGCCGGGGUCAACUCGGAGGAAGGUGGGGGUGACGUCAAGUCAUCAUGCCCCUUAUGUCCAGGGCUUCACGCAUGCUACAAUGGCUGGUACAGAGAGUGGCGAGCCUGUGAGGGUGAGCGAAUCUCGGAAAGCCGGUCUCAGUUCGGAUUGGGGUCUGCAACUCGACCUCAUGAAGUCGGAGUCGCUAGUAAUCGCAGAUCAGCAACGCUGCGGUGAAUACGUUCCCGGGGCU